AACGAACGCUGGCGGCAGGCCUAACACAUGCAAGUCGAGCGGACCCUUCGGGGUUAGCGGCGGACGGGUGAGUAACGCGUGGGAAUAUGCCCUUCUCUACGGAAUAGUCCUGGGAAACUGGGGGUAAUACCGAAUACGCCCUCUGGUGGAAAGUUUUAUCGGGGAAGGAUUAGCGCACGUUGUAUUAGGUAGUGGGUGGGGUAAUGGCCUACAAAGCCGACGAUCCAUAGCUGGUUUGAGAGGAUGAUCAGCCACUCUGGGACUGAGACACGGCCCAGACUCCUACGGGAGGCAGCAGUGGGGAAUCUUAGACAAUGGGGGCAACCCUGAUCUAGUCAUGCCGCGUGAGUGAUGAAGGCCUUAGGGUUGUAAAGCUCUUUCAGCUGGGAAGAUAAUGACGGUACCAGCAGAAGAAGCCCCGGCUAACUCCGUG
This 433-nucleotide ribosomal RNA is filed under the name uncultured bacterium. RNAcentral describes it as "partial 16S ribosomal RNA". It matches the Rfam family "Bacterial small subunit ribosomal RNA", at positions 29 to 507 of the family's 1533-position model. The record is from RNAcentral.